Molecule: non-coding RNA, 3827 nt
Organism: Heterocephalus glaber (naked mole-rat)
Lineage: Eukaryota; Metazoa; Chordata; Mammalia; Rodentia; Bathyergidae
Source: RefSeq, a predicted model, not a curated record
GUGCAGGCCGCCCCUCAUGCUCCACUCGGCACAUGUAAUUCUGCUGCCCACUUCCAGAACGUUCCAUCUCUUCCAGGCCUGGUCUCCAUAAGCUCCAUGUCCUGGGUCGGGGAGAUCUCUGCAGGGUAGAAGCCUAGGGCCCAGCACCUCAAGGUGACCUCACUGGCAGAAGUUGGAUGGCUCCCGGAAGAUGCUUCUCCCUCUCCAUCUAUGGACAUUAGAGUCAGCCGUAUGAUUUUCUUCCCAUUUGGACUGGGAGCUCCUCAGGUGAAGACUUUCCUUGGUGUCUCUGAAUUCUAAGGCCACAGCAAAUGCUUGUCACUGAGUUUGUGGAUUGCAAGCUAUGAGGGAGCAAUCAUUUGACAGCCAGGAAGUCGCUGGUGGAGGCCAGGCCUGUAAUGAUUCUGCCUCAUCAGCCUUUAGACUCGGGUCCCGGAUUUAUGAGUUCUUGUCUUCAUCCACAUUCACCCCUAUAGGUCCUCUAGAAACUCCAAAUGAAUUUUUACCCAGCAUUCCAUGGAAACCUCAGCUUAGUCUGGGCUGCAAAGCAGAGUGGAUGGGUGAGUCAGCCAUUUAUCCUUCCGGAGAGUAGGCCUGCCUUGUUGUACAGAAGAACCUGAAAGAGUUUCUUUCCUUUUUACUUUUAAUCCUAAGAAAAAAUGCAGUUGGGUGUGGUGGCAUGCACCCCAAUUCUCAGGUACUCAGGAGGUUGAGGCAGGAGAAUGUCUUAAGUCUAAGAGGAUCACUUGACUUAGUCACUUUUCUCACCUCUGAGACACAAAUACCUGAUACCUGCAACUUUAAGGAGGAGCAGUUUAUUUUGGCUCACAUUUCAGGCUUUGGUCGGUGGCACCAAAGAAGAAACAGCACAAUUGUUAGGAUAAAUGAACCACUAUGAUACAGACUCUAGAUUGACAAGUCAACCAGUGCUGACAACAGGCAGCAAUGUCUGAUUGUGUGUGAUAUAUUUUUCAGGAGGAUGUACAUAGGCUGUGUUAUGUAUACCUUUGUUACCAACCAACAGAUGGCCACAGAAAUCUAUUCAAGUCUUAGAAUGAUUACAUAUUAGGGAAACUGAAAUGGUCAUUUGUGUCAGUAUAUGCACAGAUGGGUGGUUGCAUUGACUGGAUGGCUUUCUGGUUUCACCACUCAGGUCAAAGAGGUGACUUCUAAAUGUGAGGCGCUGCACUGUAUCAUCCAUAUAGAAAUGCUGGCUAGCUGCAAAAUGUCACUUGACAUGAACAGUGUUUGCAGGAUCUGAUUAAAAUUAACAACCACAAAACACAUGCCCUUAACUCACAUGUUCACACAUCUCUGAAAAGAUGGCUGCAGAGUAUAACAGUCUUUUCUUAUACACAAAGGUGAGAUGGCUCUGUAGGGGUAGAUUAUUGGUUGGAGUUUUUGAGUUAUAAGAGCUGCUUCAGAAAUUUCUUUUAGAAAAACAGUCACCCUUGGCAGCACAUUACAGUGACACAGAAUGAGUCAUAAAACUUGUGAAUUUCUGUGACAUAAUCAACCUGCUCAGUGAACUCGGGAGAAUGACAACUGUGUUCAAGUUGGCAGAUAUAGUGGCUUCAUUCAAAACCAGACUGGAAUUAUGGGGGCAAUGAGUGAACACUGGAAUUUUUUUUUUUUUUUUUUUUGGUACCAGGGAUUGAACUCGGUACCUUGUGCUUUCGAGGUAGGCGCUGGAACCACCGAGCUAAAUCCCCGGCCCCAACACUGGAAUUUUUGACAUGUCUUAAACAUUAGCAGAGAUCUUGAAAGAGACUGAGCGAGGGCCUUCUUUUCUCCAGUUUGUGCAUGAUUGCCUAUCUCAGCUUUCAAAAGAGUUUGAGGAUUACUUCCCAACCAUAAAAGACCCCCAAACUCAGAAGGAAGGGAUUCACCACCCAUUUGUGAAUAAGCCAGGUGAAUUGACUUUGUCUGUGCUAGAAGAGGAUUCACUGCUUGAGAUCACAAAUGAUGAUGGCCUUCAAAGUAUGUUUGGAGACAACUCCGGAUCACCAUUUAUUCUGGUUAAAAGUCAAGGGAGAAUAUCCUGAGAUGGCCACAAAAACCCUAAAUAGCCUGCUCCCAUUUCCAUCGUCCUGUCUUUGUUAGAUAGAAUUUUCUGCAGUGACAGCAAACAGAGUGAGAUUAUGGAGUAGACUGGACAUAAGCAACACACUUUGGGUGUCACUGCCUCUCAUCACUCCCAGAUGGGACUAUCUAACUGGAGGAAACCAAGCUCAGGGCUCUCACUGAUUCUGCACUAUGGUGAGUUAUAGAAUGAUUUCAUUAUAUAUGACAAUGCAAUAAUAGAAAUAAAGUACACAAUAAAUGUAGUGCAAUUGAAUCAUCUGGGAACCCCCCCCCAAAUCCUUGGAAAAAUUGCCUUUCAUCAACCAGUCCCUGGCAUCAAAAAGAUUGGCAGCCACUGGAAUAUAUAGUGUCAUGAAACUACAUGAUGUUUCAGUCCAUGAUGGACCACAUAUUCAGUGAUUAUAAUGUACCUGAAAAAAGCAUAAAGCCUAAAUGUGUUUAAGAUGAGUGUCAUUACAAAAGUCAAAAUGUUUAAAAAUUAAGAGUUUAUGAAUUUAAAAGUUACAGUAAGCUAAAGUUAAUUGCAAACAGAAAAUUGUUUUUAUAAACUUAGUGUACUCUAAGUGAAUAAUGUUUAUAAAGUCUAUAGUAAUGUACAGCAGUGCUGUAGACUUUCAUGUUCACUUACCACUCAUACACUGAAUGACCGAGAGCAACUUCCACUCCUACAAGCUCCAUUCAUGGGAAGUGCCCUAUGUAGGAGUGCCAUUUUUAAUCUUAUAAUACCAUUUUACGGUACGUUUUCUAUAAUUAUAUGUUCACACAGAAAUACCAUGAUGUUACAUGCUGGGGAUUUAGCUCAGUGGUUUCACCGCCUGCUGUGCAAGCGCAAAGACCCGAGUUCAAUCCCCUGUACAAAAAAAGAUAACACCAUGAUGUUACAAAUGUCUAUAGUAUACAGUACAGACCUAUUCUCAGCAUAUAUAGAAAUCCUGUACUUCAGGAAAAGCGCAUAAUGUGUCAUUUUGAAUGGGAGAUUUAAACUAAGAACACUCCAGACAUACAUUGUGCGAAAGGGUAACUGGGUGCUACACAUUGCAUUAUUAUUUAAAAUAACAAUAAAAUCUAAAAUCCAACUGCUUAUGUGCACUAGCCACAUUCCGAUUGCCCAGUACCCACAUAUAGUUGCUACCAUAUUGGAUAGCACAGAUACACAACGCAAAAGGUGAACCUGCGUUUUGUACCGUGGUGGCUCAUUUAUCCUGUCUAACAGUUGUUCCUCAUUGUCCUCUGGCAUUUCACCAGCUCUUCUAGUUAUGGUGCUAGCCAAAACAGGAAGAUAUGCUACCUUUUGAACUGCAGCCUUUCCUGAAAGUUGGUGACAAAUAUCCUUAACAGCUACCAGGAUCAACUCUUUCAAUACUAAAGGGCUUCUAUGCAGUUGAUUAUUAAGAAUGAUGUUCUCAAAAAAAAAAAAAAGAAUGAUGUUCUCACCAUAGACACAUUUGAGGAAGUCAUGGCCUUCAAUAAUUGCUCUAUAUUACUAUAUCCUUUAUAAACACUGUUCACUUAGAGUACACUUUAUAUUCUCAUCCUUUUUUUUUUUUUAACUCCAAAGGCUUGUCUUUUUUAUUUUAUUUUAUUUUAUUUUUUUGAGACAGGGUCUUGCUAUUAGUUCAGGCUGGCUUGGACUCGCUGUGUAGCCCAUGCUGGCCUCAGACUUGCUGUGUUCCUCGUGCUUAGCCUCCCAAGUGCUGGGACUACAGGCAUGCGCCAUCUGGCCCAGUGAAGGCUUGUCUCAA